This 77-nucleotide transfer RNA is filed under the name Planctomycetota bacterium. RNAcentral describes it as "Planctomycetes bacterium (freshwater metagenome) tRNA-Val". It matches the Rfam family "tRNA". Rfam says of the family: Transfer RNA (tRNA) molecules are approximately 80 nucleotides in length. Their secondary structure includes four short double-helical elements and three loops (D, anti-codon, and T loops). Lineage: Bacteria; Pseudomonadati; Planctomycetota. The record is from RNAcentral.
GGGCGUUUAGCUCAGUUGGCUAGAGCGCUUGCUCGACACGCAAGAGGUCACUGGUUCGAGUCCAGUAUCGCCCACCA